AUUCCCCUAGUAACUGCGAGUGAAGCGGGAAAAGCUCAAAUUUAAAAUCUGGUGGUCUUUGGCCAUCCGAGUUGUAAUUUAGAGAAGCGUCUUCCGCGCUGGACCGUGCACAAGUCUCCUGGAAUGGAGCGUCAUAGAGGGUGAGAAUCCCGUCUUUGGCACGGAUGUACCAGGGCUUUUGUGAUGCGCUCUCGAAGAGUCGAGUUGUUUGGGAAUGCAGCUCAAAAUGGGUGGUGAACUCCAUCUAAAGCUAAAUAUUGGCGAGAGACCGAUAGCGAACAAGUACCGUGAGGGAAAGAUGAAAAGCACUUUGGAAAGAGAGUGAAACAGUACGUGAAAUUGUUGAAAGGGAAACGCUUGAAGUCAGUCGCGUCGACCGAGACUCAGCCUUGCCUCGGCUUGGUGUACUUCUCGGCUGACGGGUCAGCAUCAAUUUCGCCCCUUGGAUAAUGGCGAGGGAAAUGUGACACCUUUUACGGUGUGUUAUAGUCUCUCGUCGCAUGCAAGGGUUGGGAUUGAGGAACUCAGCACGCGCCCUCGGGCGUCGGGGCUUUGCCCACGAUACGUGCUUAGGAUGUUGGCGUAAUGGCUUUAAACGACCCGUCUUGAAACACGGACCAAGGAGUCUAACAUGCCUGCGAGUGUUCGGGUGGAAAACCCGUGCGCGCAAUGAAAGUGAAAGUUGGGACCUCUGUCGUGGAGGGCACCGACGCCCGGACCAGACCUUCUGUGACGGCUCUGCGGUAGAGCAUGUAUGUUAGGACCCGAAAGAUGGUGAACUAUGCCUGAAUAGGGUGAAGCCAGAGGAAACUCUGGUGGAGGCUCGUAGCGAUUCUGACGUGCAAAUCGAUCGUCAAAUUUGGGUAUAGGGGCGAAAGAC
Molecule: ribosomal RNA, 880 nt
Filed under: Russula odorata
Lineage: Eukaryota; Fungi; Basidiomycota; Agaricomycetes; Russulales; Russulaceae
Description: eukaryotic LSU rRNA
Rfam family: Eukaryotic large subunit ribosomal RNA
Source: RNAcentral